Molecule: long non-coding RNA, 325 nt
Organism: Polypterus senegalus (gray bichir)
Lineage: Eukaryota; Metazoa; Chordata; Cladistia; Polypteriformes; Polypteridae
Exons: 3
Source: RefSeq, a predicted model, not a curated record
AUGUAAACAUGGUCCAAGAUGGCAGCGCCCUUGUCGUCACUAUCGAGUAGCGAAGAGGAUGAAAUUAUUGGUCAGACCUCCACCAAAAGCCAGUUGCUCAAAGCAGCUGAGAUGAAGGAAGACACUAGCAUUCUUGUGCAUAUUAAAGACAAAGACUGUGUGUCUCUGGAAGUAUGAUAUCACAAGUCCUGUUACAGACAGUACACCAGGUUCUUGACAAAGUCUACUGGAACAAAUACACAGGCCUCAGAAGAACAAAAUGAGCCAACCUAUGAUGUCAGCUACAAGAUCUUCUCUGAGAGAAUCAUCCGCCAUCGAAUAAUUG